CUUGAAACUCGUACAAGCGUACCAUGAAACUUUCAGAUGAAUAGCUCGAGCGUUAGUUUAAUCGGAGUUCGAGGAAUCAGGAUGAAUGAUUUAAGGGUCGAACGUGAGUGAAUGAUCUGUGGAAGUUCUCGAUCCAAGUGCGACUGGAAAAAGUGUAUUCAACGAUUGGUAAUAGUUCGACGUAAAGAUCUUGCCUCGUCCACUUCGUAAAUUAAGUACUCGAUCCAUCGAGUGUAAUAAUUGAAGCCUAGAGUGGAUGACUUCCUAGAGAAAUAUCCAAGGAGAAUAUAUUUAAGGAAAUCAAAGAUUGCUAGUACUUAAAAAAAGUGCGCUCGUGAAAGAUACUUGAAUUGGGAUAAAAUUGAUUUCUGGCAAUGAUCAGAAAAUCAAUUUAUUAUACAAUAGAACUGAAGCAUCGGUACUGUGAAGGAAUAGACAAAACAUUCUAUUGAGAAUGACAUCGAAACAACGUCUGUCUCGGGAAUCAAGUGCUGUCACUCGAUGCAAAGAUUGAGCGAAAGUUCAGAAAAUCAUUUUACUAAGCAUUUGACUUUUAGAAAGGAAACCGUACGACUUCAGGAAAGGAAGAAUCGCAGAUACCGUCUACCUUCUGAAUUAAGCGUCGUCAGACGAUAUCAAAUACUGAACAAGAGUUUAGAAAAUGAAGGAACAGGACCGUCGAGACUUUUUCUCGAAAUAGAAUUUGCAGUUCAGUGAAAUCACGGAAUAACAACGGACCCAGGUUCAGUGAGGUCCUCGAAGUGAAAGAGCGCCGUCGGAGGAUCGCGCGACGGGAUGACGGGAGGCGGA
Long non-coding RNA from Ceratina calcarata, 810 nucleotides. RefSeq lists it as uncharacterized. The record is from RefSeq and is a predicted model, not a curated record. Lineage: Eukaryota; Metazoa; Arthropoda; Insecta; Hymenoptera; Apidae. The transcript is spliced from 4 exons.